This 24-nucleotide non-coding RNA is filed under the name Arabidopsis thaliana (thale cress). The record is from RNAcentral. Lineage: Eukaryota; Viridiplantae; Streptophyta; Magnoliopsida; Brassicales; Brassicaceae.
UGUACGCUUCUGUGUUUUCUCGGU